GAUGAAGAACGUAGCGAAGUGCGAUAAGUAAUGUGAAUUGCAGAAUUCCGUGAAUCAUCGAAUCUUUGAACGCAAAUUGCACUUUCUGGUAUUCCGGAGAGUAUGCCUGUUUGAGGGUCAGUGUAAUAAAUAAAUCGUGGUUGUUACCACCUUUCGUGGUGACGCUUCGGAAUUGAGUCCUCUUACCCUUCGGGUUAAGUGACUUAAAAUUUUUUCAUACGAUUUCGAAACGUAUUUAAUGUAUUAUGUACGUUCACGAAUAUCGAAUGUUUAUUAGGUGCGGUCAUUUUUCAUGAAUUCGCGUCUAUAAUUUUUUUUUUUGACCUCAAAUCAGGUAAGAAUACCCGCUGAACUUAAGCAUAUCAAUAAGCGGAGGA
Molecule: unclassified non-coding RNA, 377 nt
Filed under: soil metagenome
Description: partial contains 5.8S ribosomal RNA, internal transcribed spacer 2, and large subunit ribosomal RNA
Rfam family: 5.8S ribosomal RNA (bases 1-120)
Source: RNAcentral